AACGAACGCUGGCGGCAGGCUUAACACAUGCAAGUCGAGCGCCCCGCAAGGGGAGCGGCAGACGGGUGAGUAACGCGUGGGAAUCUACCGUGCCCUAAGGAAUAGCUCCGGGAAACUGGAAUUAAUACCUUAUACGCCCUUCGGGGGAAAGAUUUAUCGGGGAUGGAUGAGCCCGCGUUGGAUUAGCUAGUUGGUGGGGU
This 200-nucleotide ribosomal RNA is filed under the name uncultured bacterium. RNAcentral describes it as "partial 16S ribosomal RNA". It matches the Rfam family "Bacterial small subunit ribosomal RNA", at positions 29 to 258 of the family's 1533-position model. The record is from RNAcentral.